UUAAAUAGUUGAAAAUUGCGGUCUAUUUUGAUAAAUUUUCCAAUAAUUUAAAGUGCGGUGUAUUUUGAUAAAUUUUCCAAUAAUUUAUUUAGG
This 93-nucleotide transfer RNA is filed under the name Amborella trichopoda. Its description in RNAcentral is "tRNA AMTR_s00046t00277540". The record is from RNAcentral. Lineage: Eukaryota; Viridiplantae; Streptophyta; Magnoliopsida; Amborellales; Amborellaceae.